GGCGCAGUAGUUCAGCUGGUUAGAAUGCCAGCCUGUCACGCUGGAGGUCGAGGGUUCGAGUCCCUUCUGCGUCGCCA
RNAcentral lists this transfer RNA (77 nucleotides) under Clostridiaceae bacterium. Its description in RNAcentral is "tRNA-Asp". It matches the Rfam family "tRNA". From Rfam's summary of the family: Transfer RNA (tRNA) molecules are approximately 80 nucleotides in length. The record is from RNAcentral. Lineage: Bacteria; Bacillati; Bacillota; Clostridia; Eubacteriales; Clostridiaceae. RNAcentral also lists the same sequence under 2 other names.